AGAACGAACGCUGGCGGCAUGCCUAACACAUGCAAGUCGAACGGUGAAGCCUUUCGGGGUGGGUCAGUGGCGAACGGGUGAGUAACACGUGGGCAAUCUGCCCUGCAUUCUGGGACAAGCCUUGGAAACGAGGUCUAAUACCGGAUACGACGCAUCCCCGCAUGGGGUGUGCGUGGAAAGCUCCGGCGAUGCAGGAUGAGCCCGCGGCCUAUCAGCUUGUUGGUGGGGUGAUGGCCUACCAAGGCGACGAC
This 251-nucleotide ribosomal RNA is filed under the name uncultured bacterium. Its description in RNAcentral is "partial small subunit ribosomal RNA". It matches the Rfam family "Bacterial small subunit ribosomal RNA", at positions 26 to 280 of the family's 1533-position model. The record is from RNAcentral.